GGUGUAGUUAAUAGCUGCAUUACUUGACGUUAGCGACAGAAGAAGCACCGGCUAACUCCGUGCCAGCAGCCGCGGUAAUACGGAGGGUGCGAGCGUUAAUCGGAAUUAUCUGGGCGUAAAGCGCAUGCAGGUGGUUUGUUAAGUCAGAUGUGAAAGCCCGGGGCUCAACCUCGGAAUAGCAUUUGAAACUGGCAGACUAGAGUUCUGUAGAGGGGGGGUAGAAUUU
This 226-nucleotide ribosomal RNA is filed under the name Vibrio sp. enrichment culture DGGE band 6. RNAcentral's name for it is "partial 16S ribosomal RNA". It matches the Rfam family "Bacterial small subunit ribosomal RNA", at positions 446 to 669 of the family's 1533-position model. The record is from RNAcentral. Lineage: Bacteria; Pseudomonadati; Pseudomonadota; Gammaproteobacteria; Vibrionales; Vibrionaceae.